GACGAACGCUGGCGGCGUGCUUAACACAUGCAAGUCGAACGAUGAAGCCGGAGCUUGCUCUGGUGAAUUAGUGGCGAACGGGUGAGUAACACGUGAGUAACCUGCCCUUGACUCUGGGAUAAUCGCGGGAAACUGUAGCUAAUACCGGAUACGACCCUCGGAGGCAUCUCCUGGGGGUGGAAAGAAUUUCGGUCAAGGAUGGACUCGCGGCCCAUCAGCUAGUUGGUGAGGUAAAGGCUCACCAAGGCGACGACGGGUAGCCGGCCUGAGAGGGUGACCGGCCACACUGGGACUGAGACACGGCCCAGACUCCUACGGGAGGCAGCAGUGGGGAAUAUUGCACAAUGGGCGCAAGCCUGAUGCAGCAACGCCGCGUGAGGGAUGACGGCCUUCGGGUUGUAAACCUCUUUUAGCAGGGAAGAAGCGAAAGUGACGGUACCUGCAGAAAAAGCACCGGCUAACUACGUGCCAGCCGCCGCAGUAA
RNAcentral lists this ribosomal RNA (484 nucleotides) under uncultured bacterium. RNAcentral's name for it is "partial 16S ribosomal RNA". It matches the Rfam family "Bacterial small subunit ribosomal RNA", at positions 28 to 523 of the family's 1533-position model. The record is from RNAcentral.